This 59-nucleotide transfer RNA is filed under the name Merluccius polli (Benguela hake). Its description in RNAcentral is "tRNA-Ile". It matches the Rfam family "tRNA", at positions 8 to 64 of the family's 71-position model. From Rfam's summary of the family: Transfer RNA (tRNA) molecules are approximately 80 nucleotides in length. Their secondary structure includes four short double-helical elements and three loops (D, anti-codon, and T loops). The record is from RNAcentral. Lineage: Eukaryota; Metazoa; Chordata; Actinopteri; Gadiformes; Merlucciidae.
UAGCUCAACUGGUAGAGCAUGGCAUUAAUACUGCCAGGGUUAGGGGUUUGAUUCCCUUU